GACGAACGCUGGCGGCGUGCCUAAUACAUGCAAGUAGAACGCUGAAGGAGGAGCUUGCUUCUCUGGAUGAGUUGCGAACGGGUGAGUAACGCGUAGGUAACCUGCCUUGUAGCGGGGGAUAACUAUUGGAAACGAUAGCUAAUACCGCAUAAUAGUAGAUGUUGCAUGACAUUUGCUUAAAAGGUGCAAUUGCAUCACUACCAGAUGGACCUGCGUUGUAUUAGCUAGUUGGUGAGGUAACGGCUCACCAAGGCGACGAUACAUAGCCGACCUGCGAGGGUGAUCGGCCACACUGGGACUGAGACACGGCCCAGACUCCUACGGGAGGCAGCAGUAGGGAAUCUUCGGCAAGGGACGGAAGUCUGACCGAGCAACGCCGCGUGAGUGAAGAAGGUUGUCGGAUCGUAAAGCUCUGUUGUAAGAGAAGAACGAGUGUGAGAGUGGAAAGUUCACACUGUGACGGUAUCUGACCAGAAAGCGACGGCUAACUACGUG
This 495-nucleotide ribosomal RNA is filed under the name uncultured bacterium. RNAcentral describes it as "partial 16S ribosomal RNA". It matches the Rfam family "Bacterial small subunit ribosomal RNA", at positions 28 to 507 of the family's 1533-position model. The record is from RNAcentral.